ACGGAGGGUGCAAGCGUUGUCCGGAAUCAUUGGGCGUAAAGAGUUCGUAGGUGGUAUGUUAAGUCUGGUGUUAAAGCCCGAAGCUCAACUUCGGUUCGGCACUGGAUACUGGCAAACUAGAAUGCGGUAGAGGUAAAGGGAAUUCCUGGUGUAGCGGUGAAAUGCGUAGAUAUCAGGAAGAACAUCGACGGCGAAAGCACUUUACUGGGCCGUAAUUGACACUGAGGAACGAAAGCCGGGGUAGCAAAUGG
RNAcentral lists this ribosomal RNA (251 nucleotides) under uncultured prokaryote. RNAcentral describes it as "partial 16S rRNA". It matches the Rfam family "Bacterial small subunit ribosomal RNA", at positions 525 to 775 of the family's 1533-position model. The record is from RNAcentral.